UGGCCAGGGAGGUGCGGUCCUUCAGCGCCGCCUGCCUGGCCAGCAGGGACUCCAGGUCGGCCUGGCGGGAGCUCAGCUCGCCCUCCGGCGAG
This 92-nucleotide transfer RNA is filed under the name Streptomyces sp. TS71-3. Its description in RNAcentral is "tRNA-Ala". The record is from RNAcentral. Lineage: Bacteria; Bacillati; Actinomycetota; Actinomycetes; Kitasatosporales; Streptomycetaceae.